CUUCCAUCUUCAUUGCGGCAUGCUGGAUCUUUAGUUGCGGUGUGCAAACUCUUAAUUGCAUCAUGUGGGAUCUAAUUCCCUGACCAGGGAUCGAACC
Molecule: microRNA precursor, 97 nt
Filed under: Ovis aries (sheep)
Lineage: Eukaryota; Metazoa; Chordata; Mammalia; Artiodactyla; Bovidae
Description: miRNA (ENSOARG00000023809.1)
Source: RNAcentral